AUUGAACGCUGGCGGCAUGCUUUACACAUGCAAGUCGAACGGCAGCGCGGGCUUCGGCCUGGCGGCGAGUGGCGAACGGGUGAGUAAUACAUCGGAACGUGCCCAGUCGUGGGGGAUAGCUCGGCGAAAGCCGGAUUAAUACCGCAUACGACCUGAGGGUGAAAGCGGGGGAUCUUCGGACCUCGCGCUAUUUGAGCGGCCGAUGGCAGAUUAGCUAGUUGGUGGGGUAAAGGCCUACCAAGGCGACGAACCGUAGCUGGUCUGAGAGGCCGACCAGCCACACUGGAACUGAGACACGGCCCAGACUCCUACGGGAGGCAGCAGUGGGGAAUUUUGGACAAUGGGCGAAAGCCUGAUCCAGCAAUGCCGCGUGUGUGAUGAAGGCCUUCGGGUUGUAAAGCACUUUUGGCGGGAACGAAAAGGACUGUGCCAAUACCACGGUUCGAUGACGGUACCCGCAGAAUAAGCACCGGCUAACUACGUG
Molecule: ribosomal RNA, 484 nt
Filed under: uncultured bacterium
Lineage: Bacteria
Description: partial 16S ribosomal RNA
Rfam family: Bacterial small subunit ribosomal RNA
Source: RNAcentral